CAGCGCAGCAGAAUUCAGGGGGGAAAGCUGAAUGCAACCCCUGGUGCAGGAAGGGAGGCUUUUCCUGAGGACCGGGAGAGGAUUUUAAGUACAUAGAAGGAAGCUUCUGGAGAUCCUGCUCCGUCGCCCCAGUGUUCAGACUACCUGUUCAGGACAAUGCCGUUGUACAGUAGUCUGCACAUUGGUUUUGCACACUAGGGACCAAGAAGCCCUCGGGGACACUGCUGAGAAAAGACUGCCGAAGGGAAGACCAGCGGGAGAUAUACAAAUAUUUUAGGGAUCAUGGAAUCUAUUCCAGAGGAAACUAACCAACAGUGAGCAUCUUCAACUAAAACUACCCCUGGAUGUAAUAAGUGUUGCAUGCAUCAUUCCUUUAAUUGAGCAGAGUUAACUGGAUCAAAUUAUUUAUGGGAGAGAGAGGAAAAGUUAUAAAGAAUUAUAGUAAUUUUUAAUUUCCACCAAUAUACUCUUUGUAAGUGAAUCACUCUAUAAUUACUUUCUGUUGCACUGAAUGCAGCAACAAUAACACAAUAGUAUUUUAAGGCACUGGUUUUUGGCAUACUCUAACCUUGUAAUUAUUUAAAUAACAGCCAAGUUUACUCAUGUUUUUGAUUCUGUCAAGAAAAAAAAAAAGUUCCUUUACUCGAAAGUGAUGGCCGAAACAGAAUCGGAAAUUUGUUUUCUUGAAAUUACAUAAAUACACAGAAAAUGGCACUUAUUAGCUUUUGUUAAA
This 733-nucleotide long non-coding RNA is filed under the name Homo sapiens (human). RNAcentral describes it as "DNM3 opposite strand/antisense RNA". The stretch from base 118 to 197 matches the Rfam family "mir-199 microRNA precursor family". The record is from RNAcentral. Lineage: Eukaryota; Metazoa; Chordata; Mammalia; Primates; Hominidae.